UGGGGAAUAUUGCACAAUGGGCGCAAGCCUGAUGCAGCCAUGCCGCGUGUAUGAAGAAGGCCUUCGGGUUGUAAAGUACUUUCAGCGGGGAGGAAGGGAGUAAAGUUAAUACCUUUGCUCAUUGACGUUACCUGCAGAAGAAGCACCGGCUAACUCCGUGCCAGCAGCCGCGGUAAUACGGAGGGUGCAAGCGUUAAUCGGAAUUACUGGGCGUAAAGCGCACGCAGGCGGUUUGUUAAGUCAGAUGUGAAAUCCCCGGGCUCAACCUGGGAACUGCAUCUGCUACUGGCAAGCUUGAGUCUCGUAGAGGGGGGUAGAAUUCCAGGUGUAGCGGUGAAAUGCGUAGAGAUCUGGAGGAAUACCGGUGGCGAAGGCGGCCCCCUGGACGAAGACUGACGCUCAGGUGCGAAAGCGUGGGGAGCAAACAGG
This 429-nucleotide ribosomal RNA is filed under the name Chloroflexota bacterium. Its description in RNAcentral is "Chloroflexi bacterium partial 16S ribosomal RNA". It matches the Rfam family "Bacterial small subunit ribosomal RNA", at positions 355 to 776 of the family's 1533-position model. The record is from RNAcentral. Lineage: Bacteria; Bacillati; Chloroflexota.